CCUGGUUGAUCCUGCCAGUAAUCAUAUGCUUGUCUCAAAGAUUAAUCCAUGCAUGUCUAAGUACAUGCCGAAAUAAGGCGAAACCGCGAAUGGCUCAUUAAAUCAGUUAUGGUUCCUUAGAUCGUUUCUUCCUACUUGGAUAACUGUGGCAAUUCUAGAGCUAAUACAUGCAGUGAGCCUGGAGCCCUUUGGGUAACGGGUGCUUUUAUUAGACCAAGAUCGAUCGGGUUUCGGCCCGUAUUGUGUUCUGGAUAACUUUGUGCUGAUCGCAUGGCCACGAGCCGGCGACGUUUCUUUCAAGUGUCUGCCUUAUCAACUUUCGAUGGUAGGUUACUUGCUUACCAUGGUUGUUACGGGUAACGGAGAAUCAGGGUUCGAUUCCGGAGAGGGAGCCUGAGAAACGGCUACCACAUCCAAGGAAGGAAGGCAGCAGGCGCGCAAAUUACCCACUCCCGGCACGGGGAGGUAGUGACGAAAAAUAACAAUACGGGACUCUUUUGAGGCCCCGUAAUUGAAAUGAGUACACUCUAAAUCCUUUAACGAGGAUCAAUUGGAGGGCAAGUCUGGUGCCAGCAGCCGCGGUAAUUCCAGCUCCAAUAGCGUAUACUAAAGCUGCUGCGGUUAAAAAGCUCGUAGUUGGAUCUCAGUUCCAGACGAGUAGUGCAUCUACCCGAUGCGACGGCUCGGACUGAACAUCAUGCCGGUUCUUUCUUGGUGCACUUCAUUGUGUGCCUCGAGAUGGCCGGUGCUUUUACUUUGAAAAAAUUAGAGUGCUCAACGCAGGCGAGUCGCCUGAAUAAACUUGCAUGGAAUAAUAGAACAAGACCUCGUUUCUGUUCUGUUGGUUUUUGGAAUACGAGGUAAUGAUUAAGAGGGACGGACGGGGGCAUUCGUAUUGCGGCGCUAGAGGUGAAAUUCUUGGACCGUCGCAAGACGAACUACUGCGAAAGCAUUUGCCAAGAAUGUUUUCAUUGAUCAAGAACGAAAGUCAGAGGUUCGAAGGCGAUCAGAUACCGCCCUAGUUCUGACCAUAAACGAUGCCAACCAGCGAUCCGCCUGAGUUACUCAAAUGACUCGGCGGGCAGCUUCCGGGAAACCAAAGUAUUUGGGUUCCGGGGGAAGUAUGGUUGCAAAGCUGAAACUUAAAGGAAUUGACGGAAGGGCACCACCAGGAGUGGAGCCUGCGGCUUAAUUUGACUCAACACGGGAAAACUUACCCGGCCCGGACACUGGGAGGAUUGACAGAUUGAGAGCUCUUUCUUGAUUCGGUGGAUGGUGGUGCAUGGCCGUUCUUAGUUGGUGGAGCGAUUUGUCUGGUUAAUUCCGAUAACGAACGAGACUCUAGCCUAUUAAAUAGGGGUUCCCAGCACCUUACAACCUUCUUAGAGGGACAAGCGGCUCCUAGCCGCACGAAACAGAGCAAUAACAGGUCUGUGAUGCCCUUAGAUGUCCGGGGCCGCACGCGCGCUACACUGAAGGAAGCAGCGUGUCUUUAUCCCUGUCUGAAAAGACUGGGUAACCCGUGGAACUUCUUUCGUGAUUGGGAUAGGGGCUUGCAAUUGUUCCCCUUGAACGAGGAAUUCCCAGUAAGCGCGAGUCAUAAGCUCGCGUUGAUUACGUCCCUGCCCUUUGUACGCCCGUCGCUACUACCGAUUGAAUGAUUUAGCGAGGUCUUCGGACCGAUGUCCGGCGCGGCCUUUCGGUUGCGCCGGUCUGUUGGAAAGAUGACCAAACUUGAUCAUUUAGAGGAAGUAAAAGUCGUAACAAGGUUUCCGUAGGUGAACCUGCGGAAG
RNAcentral lists this ribosomal RNA (1793 nucleotides) under Rhipicephalus microplus (southern cattle tick). Its description in RNAcentral is "SSU rRNA". It matches the Rfam family "Eukaryotic small subunit ribosomal RNA". Lineage: Eukaryota; Metazoa; Arthropoda; Arachnida; Ixodida; Ixodidae. The record is from RNAcentral.